CCAUUCCCCUCCGAGAUCACCAUAAUUGCCUCUUGAUUGUAAACAUGGAAGGUAUCCACGCUACAUCGGCCCUGACCCCAAGUUACAAUGAUACCUCCCGACAGUCCUCGAGAUUCCACAGCAUAGAAAUCCCAUGACCUCGGUAUCGCCCUCCUAGGCUUCUGCAGGCUACUCCCUGAAAGCCGGGUCUCAAACAAGACACAGAUGUCAGGGUUGUGCUGGUGCACCAACCUACGAAAAGCCGAGGCAAAAGAGGAUUUCCCCGCGCCACGACAAUUCCAUAACAGAAGCUUCAUAAAUCACCCAAAGAGUCAGCAUAGCCCACAUCACCGGAGCUGUUGCUGCCACCUACCUCCACAUCCAUACCCCCUUCACAAACCGGAAGGCCCUUGUUCACACCCACUAU
Molecule: long non-coding RNA, 406 nt
Filed under: Phoenix dactylifera (date palm)
Lineage: Eukaryota; Viridiplantae; Streptophyta; Magnoliopsida; Arecales; Arecaceae
Description: long non-coding RNA (PDAC_LNC001040)
Source: RNAcentral